Molecule: long non-coding RNA, 5126 nt
Organism: Astyanax mexicanus (Mexican tetra)
Lineage: Eukaryota; Metazoa; Chordata; Actinopteri; Characiformes; Acestrorhamphidae
Exons: 7
Source: RefSeq, a predicted model, not a curated record
CCGGAACUGGGCAGAAGAUGAACAUGAUUCUGUUAUAAACAAGACAGUCUUCAAAGAAAAGGCAGUAAAAACCGCCAGGUUAAAAGAUAAAACUAGCUGACGAUAUAUGGUACUGUCUCUUCUAUUUAUGGUCUAUUUCCUCGCAAACAAACAGAACUACCCCAGUUGAACCAGUGGAAUUAUAGAGAUUUCAAGCAGCAAUACAAAAUGAUUGACACAAUAAUAGUGCACUAUUUCUGUAAUAUAAAGUGAUUCUAAACGCAACUUAUGUUUAUAUGAAAGGAAAUUUUGUGUAUCAUAUUAUAAUAUAAAAACUUAACAUUUCUAAACAUUUUUACCCCAGACCAAACUGUUAUGUGCAAUCAUUGUUUUUUUUUUUGUUUUGUUUUUUUUUGUUAGUGCUGUCAAUGUUCAAGGGUUAAUGAUUAAUCAGAUUACAUGUUUUAAUCGAUUUACUAGCUCUCUCCCUGGCUCUCUUGCUACAGGAAGUGCUGCUCGCUGCUGACCAAUGGAAGGCCAGGCUGUAGUAUUGAGGGAGGAGCCAGCUAUUUAAUUAGAGGAUCCAAAAUGGCUUCCAGAGUAAGAGAAGUGGAGAACCAUUGUUGUGCCAUGGUUCAUUUUGGAUUUGUUUUGCCUUGUUCUGUUAGAGAUUUGAUUGUGUCAUGUGGGGUUUCAGACAGUAACCACAGCGACGCAGAGGCCUCGGGCCCGAGUGUGAUCCCUGCUGAAGUCUGCCUGACGCACACACAGGAAGAGCAGCCGUGCUGCCAUGCCAGGGUCCAGAGAGAGAGCCACUUCAGUCCGAACAUCUGCAGAACACGUAAUCCAGCGAGUGUUGGGAUUGGCUGUGUAGAUGGAGAGAGUGGCUCCUGAGAUGCAGACACGGCUGGGCCUGAGGAGAAAGCAAUUACUGGGGUAAGAACAAUUAUUAAUAUCACUAUUUAACAAUGUUAUUAUGUUUUUAGUGUAAAACAUGUUUGACAAAAUAUCUCAAGAAUCUGUAAUGUUAUUCUUAAUGGUUUUCUUCCUGAGGAUUAUUGCGAUCCUAAGCAUAAUCACCUGCGCAACAAACUCAAUUAGUCCUGAAGACUUAAUUACUAAAUUAGAUUUUAUUUAAAACUGAUUAAUUUAAGGGACAUAUUCUAUCAAUGGUUGAAGCCUAUAUUACACAAGAGUCUGAGUAAAUCACUGGAAACCAAGUGAAUGUUUUGGGGAGAAACAUCCUUAGUAUUAGGGAUGCACAAUGAUAUCGGAAUUAUAUUGUUAUCAGCUGAUAAUUGUUUUUAAAAUAUUUGCUGAUAUAUUUUUUAUUUGCUGGAUUUAACACAAAUUUCACAGCAUUACAUGUUUCUGUUAAGAGGCAUUAUGCAGCUUCACCAAAGUUACAUAGUGCCGUUAAAUAACGCUCUUGCCUGGAGUAGCAAGAAAAACAGUGGCUAAUUUUCAGAUUACAGUCAAUAAAGCAUAAUCAUGAUUACAAAGCGGUUCUUUUAAAGAUUGAAUUCCUACAUAAUGCUGCUUUAACUAUGUCUAAAACAUAACAUACCUGCAUAAGAGAGAAUUUUCCGGAGUGACACUGUGUGUUUCAUCUCCUUCAGUUCCCUCCUCAGCCUGCGGCACUCUUGUUCCUGAACCUCCAUCUGGUCCAUUAGAUCCUAAACACACAAACACACACACACAACACACACACACACCAACAUCAAACCAAGAGUGUCCUGUACAGCAGAGCCCUGAGUACAGACUUUGAUGUAGUGUGUGUGAGGCACUACAAAGAGAGUCUGGAGCUGUGAGUGGAGUCAUUGCUGGACAGUAGAGUGCAGGUUUAGAUAGAGGUGCAGACAUCAGUCACCUUCAGAGCUUUGCUGGCUGGAGCAUCUCUUCUCUGAACCUCCUGGAGCUGCAGCACAAGAGCAUCUUUUUCCUGCUCUAACUCAGCUCUCUGAGUCACAAGCUGUCUCUCCAGAAACCUGCAAUACAUCACACACAUCAUAGAGAUGUUCAUAAGAACAGACACUAAAACUUUAGAGUGUUAUCCCUUAGCAACAUUUAAAUGCUGUAUAAUUUUAGUGUGUGUGCAUGUUUUGUAUGUGCACAUGUCCGUGAAGAUAUACACUGACCUGCCACAUGUCAUAGGACAGGAACUAGCUUCAUGUCCCAUGACUUUUGCCAUGUUCAAUGAAAGCUAAAGAAUAUUGCACUGAACUGAGUUUACCACCCCUUUAUAUGUCAUUUCUGAUACACAUGACUCUGUAGAUUGAGAACUAAAUAUCACGUCCAUCUGGCAUAUGCACUCAGGCCUUGCUCAAACUCUAAUAAUCUAUGUUCCUUUCCCGCGCACUCACAAGAUAACACCUCCCUAAAACAGGUGUGGGCAUCCACAAGCAGUCCCCUGAUGUAACCCUGCAUUCACCCUGGCAGGCGACAGAGCGACAGGCGGUCAUUCAUUUCCUAUGGGAGGAAGCGAUUUGUAGCCUUAACAUGGGGGUAAACUACUUUUUGUUAACUUUAUGCAAAUUAUUAUGACGCAAUGAGAGGACCUUCUACACUGAUUUGCCAAAAAAAUUCUUCAGAACAAUCACAGGCACAGAGGUCCGAGGUCCGCAGCUUUUGCUCUGUGAAUUUUUUAUGUUUCUACAUAUUUCGUUCAUAUCCCAGCAGUGUUUUUUCGCCCCAAUUAAAUUUUUUUACAGCCAAUUACCAAACCACUCAUUGUCAGCGAUCUCCUGAUCCUAGUGUCAGCGCUUAGCCCGCUGGACCACUUGGAGCCCCAACAGUAUGGUUCUAAAGGUGGCAUAGAGGCUUUAGCUGCUAUUUUUCCUCUUUGACUUUUUUAUGAUGCAGUUUGGCACAAAUUUGGUGUCAAUUAAGAGAAAAAUAAAGCUUAAAAAUAAGUAAUGGAUAGCUCAAUAGGUAGUUUGCUAGCAUGCUAACCAGCCAUGUCAAUAUUGAACAUUUAAACAAAUUUAUCUUAAAGAUGUUUUAAAGUAUUUUAGAUAAAUGGGAAAGAACUAACUUGUUGGCCACCCGGACAGCAUCGUAGGCAUGACGGAGGUCUUCUCCCUGCAUCUUCUCCGCUGUAGCUUUUGGCACACCCAGGUCCUCCAUUAAUGCAUUCUACACAUAAAAAUACCACACAACAUUUAUACAGUUUAAAAUAUUUCUACAUGGAUGUAUGAAAUUCUGAGGCUAUCUCAGAAUUAACCUUAGUAAAGUGAGGUACAGAAUGAAGCUGAUAGUGGUGGCAGGUCUUACCAAAGGUGGCUCAGGAUUCCAUGGCCUCCUAUCGAAGGGUGAGGUGACGCUGAUCCUCCUUCCAUCUUCAGCAGAGGAAAAGUCAGGUGGACCACUGAAGGCUGGAGAGAUGGGAGAUGGAGGCUCUAGAGACACACUCUGAGUGGAGUCAGUCCGCCUGUGUCCGCGCCAACGCUGGUGUUAUAUUUUUAUUGAAACACACAACAUACUUUGGUAAAGAACAGAAAUAUUAAACUCUUCUUGCUCACAAUAUGUUCUUUCUCACCGUGCCCCACUUUUUCUCUCUCCUGCAGCAGCAGAUGCCUACCUCAGCAGUAGGGAGCAUGCUCAUGUCCCUCAGGUUGUCGUAUCUCUGCUCUAGCCGAGUAAACUCCCUCAGCAAGCCCUGAUAUCUCCUCCGCUCCUCCUCCAGCUCAGCCUGUACUGCUGCUCCAGCCUGUGCCUGCGACUGCUGCCUGCUCUCUAAAACAUAUACAGUGCAUGCACAGCCAACAUAGUUAAAGCCACAAAUAUACAAAACCACAUGGAUAAAGACCCCAAAGUCAUCAUCUUGCCUUCUUGAGCCUUCUUCUCCUGCUCCUGUAAACGCGUGAACGAGCCUCGGCCCUCAGCCUCCGCAGCUCUCUCCGAGCCGCCUUCCUGCGCACACAGCACUGCAGCAGCACCACCGCAGCCCUCACACGCCUGAACCAGCGGCGGGUCAGGCAGCAGCGCACCCACGCCUGCAGACGCACCGCUGCCCGCUCUGCCACCAGCUGCACAGAGCCAGAGGAACAGGAUGAAGAGUCUCACCAUGUCAGCAAAGUGAAGUAUAAUGAAGGCUGAGUUGGACAUGCGUGGCUUGCGGAAGUUGUGGCUGUUGUUCAGAGCUGUACGAGCAGUAAAUAUCAAUGAAUCUCAGCCCACCUGAAAAACAACUCUGGACUUUUCCAGCAGAUGGAACUUGGCUUUCACCUGUAACCCAACUGUGAAGUAUACACUGUGACACAGUGAGCAGAUGUGGAUGGAGCACAUUGGACAGCCAACGGUGAGGGAUAAGGUCCUUGCUCAAGGGCCCAACAGUGGCAGUUUGUCAAACCCAGGUAUCAAUCCAAGCAGUGUUUAGAUAACAUGAUUAUGUUAUCUAAACACUGAGCUCACACUUAACCUGAUAUUUGCAUGCAAGUGCCAUAUUGCUAAGGGUAGUGGCAGCAACAUAAACCCAAAACCAAUCUGAGAGUUUUCCUUCUCGUCAAGAUUUCUUCUUGACCUCCACAGUUCCCCUGAACUGUCAAUUUUAGGUAUGUGCUAUUAAAUCCACAAGCUGUACUUGCCUGAAUAUCUUUUUACCAGAUUCCACUGCCUUGUGGGCAUUGAUUAUUUUCAUUUUCUGACUUUUAAAGAAACUUAAAGGAAGUCUGUGGUGGAUUAGUUUUUUCACGAAGUUAAAAGAGUUGUAUAUAAGGCAGGGAAAUUUGAUUCAGCUAAUUGGUGACUUGCUAUUCAAGUGCAACAAAACCUUUUUAUUAGUACUGACUGUGUGAUUAGUACUGAUGUGAAUGGUUAAUAUUCAAAACUGAAUUAAACACAUUUAACAAUUAGUAUAAACAAAAGUAUUUUGGAAUAGUGCUUAAAAAGCAGAACUUCCUGAAUAUGUCCAGGCCAACAACCGUAUUUCUCCAGCAUCAGCAUAAUACAGCCUCCUCUGCAUUAAACAUUAACACCAGUCAUUCAUUCCCCUGUGAUGUUCUCGUUCUUCAUCAGCUUUCUGAGCAAGAAACACUCAAAACACUGGAAUGUGUUCUCUUUUUCAGAAUUUCCAACUUAACAACCAACUCUGCUGCCAUGAUUGAUUUAAAUCCAUGCAAAUCUAUACAAAAAGAAGCCUUUUAUUC